ACACACACACACACACACACACACACACACACACAGAACACACACACACAGAACACACACACACACACACACAGAACACACACACAGAACACACACACACACGGAUGCCCCCCAGACACAUAGGACUAAGUCUUAUGAUUGGGUACUGAUGGCCACCUGUGUGAACUUUACCCUUUAACUCCUGAGGUUGUGUGGUGAGGUCACUGCUCUCUCUCAGCAAUGUAAACUCCAGCAGCACAGAUAUAUUGUAUCCUCAAUUACCUUCAACAACCAGUAGAUGGCGUCUGAUUCGUUCCUUUACAACCAGUAGGUGACGUCUGAUUCGUUCCUUUACAACCAGUAGGUGACGUCUGAUUCGUUCCUUUACAACCAGUAGGUGACGUCUGAUUCGUUCCUUUACAACCAGUAGGUGACGUCUGAUUCGUUCCUGUACAACCAGUAGGUGACGUCUGAUUCGUUCCUGUACAACCAGUAGGUGACGUCUGAUUCGUUCCUUUACAACCAGUAGGUGACGUCUGAUUCGUUCCUUUACAACCAGUAGGUGACGUCUGAUUCGUUCCUUUACAACCAGUAGGUGACGUCUGAUUCGUUCCUUUACAACCAGUAGGUGACGUCUGAUUCGUUCCUGUACAACCAGUAGGUGACGUCUGAUUCGUUCCUUUACAACCAGUAGGUGACGUCUGAUUCGUUCCUUUACAACCAGUAGGUGACGUCUGAUUCGUUCCUUUACAACCAGUAGGUGACGUCUGAUUCGUUCCUGUACAACCAGUAGGUGACGUCUGAUUCGUUCCUGUACAACCAGUAGGUGACGUCUGAUUCGUUCCUUUACAACCAGUAGGUGACGUCUGAUUCGUUCCUUUACAACCAGUAGGUGACGUCUGAUUCGUUCCUUUACAACCAGUAGGUGACGUCUGAUUCGUUCCUUUACAACCAGUAGGUGACGUCUGAUUCGUUCCUGUACAACCAGUAGGUGACGUCUGAUUCGUUCCUUUACAACCAGUAGGUGACGUCUGAUUCGUUCCUGUACGUGCUCAAACUCAAAAACAUAUUGUCAUCUUGUUUACUGAUAUUGUAUCUUGGACAUCUGGACACGUUGGUCAGGUCUCUUAGAUGACUUGUUAAAUCUCUCUAAUCUGUUAGGGACUGAUUCCGAUUAAUGAAUUCAUAUUUCUCCUACGCAUGCACUUCUUAGUAUUUGGCAUUUAUACUUACCUUAUGUAGUCACGAACCUUAUUCAGUCACGUGACUCGUACUGCAGGUGUGGCUAACUUGUGCGGCUCUGAAUACAUUUCAGUAAACCGCUGAGAACUCUCCAGUUUGCUGGCCAACAGAUUUUCUCGCAGAGUUUUCAUUCAACAGGGUUUUCAGGACAUUUAUCUUAAAGCCAUCCCUUUAAAAUACUCUGUACCUUUCAGUUCAAAUGUUGUUAAUAGACUCAUUAGGAUAUAUUGAGAGAUCGGGUAUCUGGAUAUUAGGGAUCAAUGACAGGGGAGUAAUCUAAAUAUAUGCAUAAAUAAAUAAAUAUAAUAUAAUAUAAAUAAAUAUAUGCAUAUUCUUCUCCGUUUUGGUCGAUUUAAAAAUCCUCUGCUCUUGUAGAUUAUCUAUUUAUUUAGGAAAGUAGUUCUGAAUCAUAAAGGACUUUUAAGCACCUAAUAAUGAAAACGGUGGUUUGAUUCAUUGUGAAAAAUGCCACAUUCAGUUCUUUAACCUGUGGUAUUGUUGACAGAUCAGUGUACACAGAAUUAUAUUAGGGAUAAUGGUGUACAAUAGUAGGCUAUACCCUCGUCUAUUACCUGCACUGACCAUGUCAAGUAUUGCGCCAUGCGUCCGGUUCAACCUGUUACGGCUCCGUCUUCACUUCGCUCCAUAACCAUGUAAUUAUCCUACAUGUCUGUUUUGUAUUAUCACCUGUUACUAAUGAUCCUCAGCAACAACCACACGGCCGUGGCGACGUUUACAGAGGAGGCAAAGUAAGGUGAACUAAACAAUGGAAUUAAAUGGAAUGAUAAUGUAGGCUGUACCAUCUGAAGGGAACUAACAGUACAUUGGGCUCCCGAGUGGUGCAGUGGUCUAAGACACUGCAUCUCAGUGCUAGAGGCGUCACUACAGACCCUGGUUCAGCGGUCUAAGACACCGCAUCUCAGUGCUAGAGGCGUCACUACAGACCCUGGUUCAGCGGUCUAAGACACUGCAUCUCAGUGCUAGAGGCGUCACU
Molecule: long non-coding RNA, 2215 nt
Organism: Oncorhynchus keta (chum salmon)
Lineage: Eukaryota; Metazoa; Chordata; Actinopteri; Salmoniformes; Salmonidae
Exons: 6
Source: RefSeq, a predicted model, not a curated record